CCUCAAAUGCAGAGAACUGACUCUAAAAAUAAUUAGAUUAACAACAAAAUGAAACUUUUAUAUCCCUAUUUAUUAAAUUGUUAACUUGCAGAAUAAUCAAAUUAGAAAAAAAGGUUCUCCUUUCAAUGGAAAAGCCAAUCACAGAAGCGAAUUUGCUUCCUUGUAGACCAACAGAUGGCCGUGAACCGCGGCCAAACGCAGCAACCAAAGGGGACAAUACCGUAGCAGAGUGUCUCAAGAGCAAAUCCUAAUCAAGAAUCAAGAUCCACCCCCCUUAAUCACUAGUUGUACUUUUGUUUAAUUAUUUAUAAUUAAUGUAAUGCAGAUUAAGAUGAGAUUAAAGAAAUGGACUUUCACCUGUGUUGUGACUGUGUUGUGUUUCUUCAAGUCUCAAGUUCCAACUUUGAAGCACAUGUUUGUGGUACUAGUUUAUUCAAGCCGUAGAAGUUUGG
RNAcentral lists this long non-coding RNA (452 nucleotides) under Eutrema salsugineum. Its description in RNAcentral is "long non-coding RNA (ESAL_LNC001845)". Lineage: Eukaryota; Viridiplantae; Streptophyta; Magnoliopsida; Brassicales; Brassicaceae. The record is from RNAcentral.